This 253-nucleotide ribosomal RNA is filed under the name uncultured bacterium. Its description in RNAcentral is "partial 16S ribosomal RNA". It matches the Rfam family "Bacterial small subunit ribosomal RNA", at positions 524 to 776 of the family's 1533-position model. The record is from RNAcentral.
UACGUAGGGGGCUAGCGUUGUCCGGAUUUAUUGGGCGUAAAGAGCGUGUAGGCGGCCGGGUAAGUCCGGUGUGAAAACUCGAGGCUCAACCUCGAGAUGUCGAUGGAAACCGUCUGGCUAGAGUCCGGAAGAGGAGUGUGGAAUUCCUGGUGUAGCGGUGAAAUGCGCAGAUAUCAGGAAGAACACCUAUGGCGAAGGCAGCACUCUGGGACGGUACUGACGCUGAGACGCGAAAGCGUGGGGAGCGAACAGG